UUAAUAAUUAACAUUUGUUUUUAUUCUUUGUUGUAGCAUCACUUGUGUUGAUGUUGAGUAUGUCCCUCCCACUGAAUCACGUCGCAGACAGGCAAUUUUGCGGGUGAUGUCUCAUCAUGCAUGUAUGUUUCGUCUUGCAAAGCACGCAUGGGUUGAGUCGAUGCGUCGUGAGAUGAAUGAAGUUAAGAUGGAGCUCCGUGCUGCUGAAAGAAUGAUAGGUGUUGCGAGGCUUUGCAAAUGCAAGUGUCACCGCAAGGGCGCCAACAUGAAGAAAAAUCAAUGAUGAUGCAGAGAGAAUUAUUAUAUAAAUAAAUAAGAAAUCUCGAUGUUUCGAGUGUUUUAUGUGUGUUUUUAUUUUCAGAAAAUAAAUUGGCUGUAAUUUUGGUAGUUAUAUACCAUUUGCAUGCCUGGCUUGUGAUGUUUGUAAUCUAGACUGAUGUGUUAGACAUCUUUCUAUGUGUGUUAUGAUUUGUGUUUUUAGUAUGUUGUUGUAUAACAAAUCUUGCUAGUGAAGUGUGUAACUAAGUUUGAUGUGUAAA
Molecule: long non-coding RNA, 539 nt
Organism: Solanum tuberosum (potato)
Lineage: Eukaryota; Viridiplantae; Streptophyta; Magnoliopsida; Solanales; Solanaceae
Exons: 5
Source: RefSeq, a predicted model, not a curated record